AAAAUAAUUUACCCAAAACUCUUGUUGAGAUGUAGUGUUUGCUAAGAGCGUGGGUUACCUACCCUAGACUUAAAACUAUUGUGAUUGAGGAGGAGAGGUAUUCUCGGAAUCAAAAAGUAUACAAAAAUUAUUAGUUCCAGACAAGGAGCCCAAUGAUUACUGAUAAGAAUUAACAUUCCUGAACAAUGAUAUAAGAAAGGGCAACUCUGAGUUGGAUGUUUGUAAGUAAAGAGGGGAAUGUUAUGAUAGAAGAGUAUUCAGAGCAAAACAAAGUAGUUUCUUUAAAAAAAAAAAACAGGAAAUUAAGUCUUUUUGUAUCCUCGUUAUUAUUAAUUUGAAAUUAUACUGUAAGAUCUUUAAAACCCAUCUUUCAGUUCUUUUGAGAAGCAGUUCCUAAGGUGCAUUUUGGCAGAAAAUAUCAUUGUUAUGUGAAUAGAGGGUUCUGUGGCCAAAUCAAUUUGGGAAAUGCUGGGUUAUAAGGUUAAGUUACUGUGGGCUUUUCAGAACCCUUGAUGUGCUGUUGUGUGGUUUCAGUCUCCAAGAAGGGCCUACAUUUUAUACACCAUUUCCCUAAUUUGUUAAUGUGGAUUCUUUUUAAAAGUAGGUGUCUUGUAGGAUUUGGGUUCUGAGAAACACACUUAGGGAAAUACUGCCCUAGCGUGUUUUUGCUUGUUUGUGCUCAUUGCCAAGGUUUCCUGUUGUUGGGUGCCCCCCUGGUGAGUGGUGAUCAAAUGGGAAGAGACAGGUCAGGACUCCCUUGGACCAGGAUGUUGAGAGGGAGUGGCUGUGGAUUAGAUAGGUUGGGAUUUUAGGCACAUGUGAGGCCCCUGGUCAGUCUACCCCUUUCCCUGGGAGUUGGCUUGGAACAGCUGAACAGGGGUGUGAACUGGUCAUUUCAGAGAACUAACUAGUUCUUACAUGUCUGAGACAAAGGGAACCAACUUGAAAUUCCAGAACAAUUUCCAAACCGUUUUUGGCUGUGCUUUAAAAUGCCAAAAAAGCGAUGGGUAUUUAUAGCACUGAAGUCCAUACAAGCUGGUUAUUUUAUACAUAUAAACACAUACAGAUAUAUAUGUAUAGACACACACAUACACAGUGUCGUAGAAAGUUUACAGCUGCUUCAGUGACAAAGCAAAGAAGUUGAAUGUUUUCAGAUUCUAUUGUUACUGAAGCCAUGGUCUAAACAAGGAUUGUGUGUAUGUGUUUGCAUUUUCUAGGAUGAGGGUUUACAGUUUUCAUUAACUUCUCUGCGGUUUCUGUAUCCUAAAAAACUUAAAUCUCACUAGACCUCCAGAUUUUAGAGGACUAAGUAUGUUUGAUUUCAUUUCAAAGUACAAAACCAGAUCACUGAUCAGAUGUAAGGAUGCUUUUUGUUUGUUUUCUGCAAUGUGUCCAGUUGCAUAAUUGAAACUCCAUGCUUUGGCUGUGUAUUUGACAGGCCUGCCUUUGGGUUUUGAGUUGUGGUGUAAUGCUGAACGUCUAACCACAAGAAAAGCAGUUGGAUCUUGGUUCUCAUUCCUCAGUUUUCCUCAUGCAAAUUCAGAGAAAUGUCUCUUUUAAUCAUUUAGUUUACGUAUCCCAGAUCCUUGGAAAUCAAGCAAAAUGACCUGCCAGAGUUUGCGUCAGUCCUCAGCCAGUCAUGCACUGUAGAGAAGGUUGUGCUGGCCAUUCGUUCUCUGGACCGUUGGCUACUUCUUUUGCAAUCCUGCAUCUUUCUUCUGGGAGAAGGAAGACUGUACUCAAACUUUUAUGUUAAUUGCAUCUACAUGAGCUUUAUUCCUCUUCUGACUCAAUGUUUUAUUUGUAAAAUAAGAAAUAAUGUCUUUCCAUUUUUCUGUUCAUCCUUGAAGUAGAAAUUUGAGGUGUUUAUAAUGUAGCUUGAGCUUUCUGGAAGAUUGACAGCAAAGAAGAUAAAUAAGAAAUACAUGUGUACACAUAGUGGUUUUGUUCCACCAAGCCUAUCUUUGAAUGGUAAACAUUUUAAACAUCUGUUCUAGUGUACAAAUACUAUGGUUUUGUUAUAAAGUAAACAUCUUAGAAUAAGCAAUGUUGAUCAUAAUUUCAAUAUUCUAGUCUUGCCUAGUGUGAAUAUGUUUUACUCAGAGACCAUGUAUAAAUACCCAGAAGUGGUGAUGAUGAUCAAUGUUGUAAAGAAUUUAUUCUGAUAAAUGAGAAACUGGACAUAAUGUCAAAAUAGCUAUUUUCACAAUAAAAUCUCAAAUUGCCAGAAUGUUUAUUAA
Non-coding RNA from Ceratotherium simum simum (southern white rhinoceros), 2240 nucleotides. The record is from RefSeq and is a predicted model, not a curated record. NCBI's taxonomy places the organism in Eukaryota, Metazoa, Chordata, Mammalia, Perissodactyla, Rhinocerotidae.